Molecule: ribosomal RNA, 752 nt
Filed under: uncultured Actinomyces sp.
Lineage: Bacteria; Bacillati; Actinomycetota; Actinomycetes; Actinomycetales; Actinomycetaceae
Description: bacterial SSU rRNA
Rfam family: Bacterial small subunit ribosomal RNA
Source: RNAcentral
GACGAACGCUGGCGGCGUGCUUAACACAUGCAAGUCGAACGCUGAUGGCCCAGCUUGCUGGGUUGGAUGAGUGGCGAACGGGUGAGUAACACGUGAGUAACCUGCCCUCUUCUUUGGGAUAACGGUCGGAAACGGCUGCUAAUACCGGGUAUUCACUGUCCUUCGCAUGGGGGGUGGUGGAAAGGUUUUUUCUGGUGGGGGAUGGGCUCGCGGCCUAUCAGCUUGUUGGUGGGGUGAUGGCUUACCAAGGCUUUGACGGGUAACCGGCCUGAGAGGGUGACCGGUCACAUUGGGACUGAGAUACGGCCCAGACUCCUACGGGAGGCAGCAGUGGGGAAUAUUGCACAAUGGGCGAAAGCCUGAUGCAGCGACGCCGCGUGAGGGAUGGAGGCCUUCGGGUUGUAAACCUCUUUCGCUCAUGGUCAAGCCGCAACAGUGGUUGUGGUGAGGGUAGUGGGUAAAGAAGCACCGGCUAACUACGUGCCAGCAGCCGCGGUAAUACGUAGGGUGCGAGCGUUGUCCGGAAUUAUUGGGCGUAAAGGGCUUGUAGGCGGUUUGUCGCGUCUGCCGUGAAAUCCUCUGGCUUAACUGGGGGCGUGCGGUGGGUACGGGCAGGCUUGAGUGCGGUAGGGGAGACUGGAACUCCUGGUGUAGCGGUGGAAUGCGCAGAUAUCAGGAAGAACACCGGUGGCGAAGGCGGGUCUCUGGGCCGUUACUGACGCUGAGGAGCGAAAGCGUGGGGAGCGAACAGG